GCGGCCAUCGUAUAAUGGUAUUACCUCAGCCUUUGAAGUUGAUGACGUGGGUUCGAUUCCCGCUGGCCGCGCCA
Molecule: transfer RNA, 74 nt
Filed under: Serratia proteamaculans
Lineage: Bacteria; Pseudomonadati; Pseudomonadota; Gammaproteobacteria; Enterobacterales; Yersiniaceae
Description: tRNA-Gln(ttg)
Rfam family: tRNA
About the family: Transfer RNA (tRNA) molecules are approximately 80 nucleotides in length. Their secondary structure includes four short double-helical elements and three loops (D, anti-codon, and T loops). Further hydrogen bonds mediate the characteristic L-shaped molecular structure. tRNAs have two regions of fundamental functional importance: the anti-codon, which is responsible for specific mRNA codon recognition, and the 3' end, to which the tRNAs corresponding amino acid is attached (by aminoacyl-tRNA synthetases). tRNAs cope with the degeneracy of the genetic code in two manners: having more than one tRNA (with a specific anti-codon) for a particular amino acid; and 'wobble' base-pairing, i.e. permitting non-standard base-pairing at the 3rd anti-codon position.
Source: RNAcentral